AUCUGAUUCACAAACCCAUGCUCCUCCUUCUGACAUUUUUAGGCAAAUAUAGAGGGAAGGAAGGAAUCUUUGUUUUUUGGACAGUGAGUGAAGAUCAGAGCACUUAAGCUACUUGCCAAAGAUUACAUGGAGACCCAGAUUUCCAUAGAGCAAAUCCCAGUGUUUGUGGACAUUUGAAGGGUUGACGUGUAGAAGGCGAUAGGUGGAAUAUCUUGCUCGAGCAGCAAGCCAGGACCAGUGUCCUGAAGUAGGUCAGCUUGGGCUAAAGAUUUUCAUGAGGCAAUCUUUGUCAUGAGGCUGUGCAAUACAGAAUGGGAUGGCAGAGUGUUUCCUGCUAGGAUAGAGGAGGCUGGAGGUUUAUGGUCCAGAGUUAAUUAUGGAGGUCCCAGGGGGCCGUCAGGGCUCUGGUUCCUGCAGGCUGUUCUCUCCAUGGACCCUCAGAUGUCACCUUUGUCUUUAUAGUACAAAAAGGACUUCUGCCAUCUCAUCUUUGUGCCAGGCAGUGGGAAGGAAAACAGUGUGACUUCUUCUUCCAGGA
This 538-nucleotide long non-coding RNA is filed under the name Marmota monax (woodchuck). The record is from RNAcentral. Lineage: Eukaryota; Metazoa; Chordata; Mammalia; Rodentia; Sciuridae.